RNAcentral lists this ribosomal RNA (494 nucleotides) under uncultured bacterium. RNAcentral describes it as "partial 16S ribosomal RNA". It matches the Rfam family "Bacterial small subunit ribosomal RNA", at positions 28 to 507 of the family's 1533-position model. The record is from RNAcentral.
GACGAACGCUGGCGGCGCGCUUAACACAUGCAAGUCGAACGGAAAGGCCUGCUUUCCCUUGUGGAUUGCGGGUACUCGAGUGGCGAACGGGUGAGUAACACGUGAGUGAUCUGCCCCCAACUUGGGUAUAAGCCUGGGAAACUGGGUCUAAUUCCCGAUAGGACUGCAGGGUGGUGCCUGUGGUGGAAAACGAUUUUCUAGUGGUUGGGGAUGAGCUCGCGGCCUAUCAGCUUGUUGGUGGGGUAAUGGCCUACCAAGGCGGCGACGGGUAGCCGGCCUGGGAGGGUGGACGGCCACAUUGGGACUGAGAUACGGCCCAGACUCCUACGGGAGGCAGCAGUGGGGAAUAUUGCACAAUGGGCGGAAGCCUGAUGCAGCGACGCCGCGUGGGGGAUGACGGCCUUCGGGUUGUAAACUCCUUUCGACCGCGAGGAAGCCACCUGGUUGGAAGGGUGGUGACGGUAGUGGUAGAAGAGGCACCGGCUAACUACGUG